CGGGUGUCGGCGAGUAGCGCACGGGUGCGUAACGCGUAGGAAUAUACCAUAUAGUAGAGAAUAACCAUUAGAAAUGAUGGCUAAUACCCUAUAGUCCCUUCGGGGUAAAGAUUUAUCGCUAUAUGAUUAGCCUGCGUUAGAUUAGCUAGUUGGUGAGGUAAUUGCUCACCAAGGCUACGAUCUAUAGCUGGUCUGAGAGGAUGAUCAGCCACACUGGGACUGAGACACGGCCCAGACUCC
This 240-nucleotide ribosomal RNA is filed under the name uncultured bacterium. Its description in RNAcentral is "partial 16S ribosomal RNA". It matches the Rfam family "Bacterial small subunit ribosomal RNA", at positions 82 to 339 of the family's 1533-position model. The record is from RNAcentral.